Lates calcarifer (barramundi perch) is the source of this 1194-nucleotide long non-coding RNA. RefSeq lists it as uncharacterized. NCBI's taxonomy places the organism in Eukaryota, Metazoa, Chordata, Actinopteri, Centropomidae. The record is from RefSeq and is a predicted model, not a curated record. The transcript has 6 exons.
UGCCGCACAUAGUAGCAGGUGAAGGUUUAGCCUGCAGGUAGCCUGCAUCAGUGCGUUUCAGAGCACAAAUGUACCAUAAACAUGCCGCCCUUUUAGCCGUCCCUCCAUUUUCCUCCUCUGCAACAAAUGGAUGUAACUUUUUAGGAUUAUCAACUGAUUCUUGAAUCGUGUGUUUCUGUUUAAAGGUGUACUCUGUGGCCCUUGUGGACCCUCGACAUGAUUAGGGGUCCAGCAGGAGUCUCGGAGCAGGGAGCAGGAGCACAGAGGAGCUGAUGGAGUCCUGAGCCUGGAGCUGGUUUCUAUUGUACCCAGUAAUUGGAUUUGGUCUGGGAGGAGAGAUGACUGCCGGUGAGAGGCUGCGAUCAUUAGAUGUGUAAAUGAGGAGCUAAGACCAGGCCUGCUGCGUUCAGUGUUAUCGGUUGAAAUGAAUGCCAAUGAACAUCUAGCUUGUUUUAACAGUCAGUGUAAAGGAGCUGGUUUGUCGAGGCGGAGGUCAGGUGCCACUGAACUGCUGCAGGAGAAGAAGGCGCAGCAACAUGAUUAAAUAUGAGGACGCUCCUGUCAAACCUCAAAAAGGUGUCUUGGUAAGGCAGGUGAAAACACCCGGGGCUGUCGUCAUCAGGUGACCAGAAGGAGGACGGCCUCUUGUGGUGGAGCUCUCGGCGAACACAGCGAGGACACGGCUGAGCUUUCUGUCGACACUCGGUGUGGAAGACGGCGCCACAGCCGUCGCACCUGCAGACACACAACAACAGCACCCACACAGAUCAUGACAAACUUCUGACACCAUCUCUGGUCUGUCUGAUGUAUUCAGUCAAGAAAAAAAAGGUACGUACACACUAAUUAACUUCACAUCAGCUACUGCCAAAUCCAUCUUUUGUUUUGGCUUCAUCAUCAUGUUUUUUUUAAGCAUGAGGAUGCAUUUGACAAAAAUUAAGGGGUCUGAAUGCACUGUAUGUAGCUGAGAAUCUCUGUAUGCUUUUGGUGCCUAAUAAAGAGCUCUGUAAGUUCAAAUUCUCUUCUUUGUCUCUUCUCUCUGUUUACUCUGGUUAAAUAAAAUCAAAACUGUCUGUGGGGCAGAGGAAUGUGGGACAUACUGUGUGGGGUUUUUUAAAAAAAUAUAUAAUUUAGCACAACCAAAUCUUUAACUACAAAAACAGGGUCUCAAAUAUUGGUCCUCACAAAUACAGUACU